This 465-nucleotide ribosomal RNA is filed under the name uncultured bacterium. RNAcentral's name for it is "bacterial SSU rRNA". It matches the Rfam family "Bacterial small subunit ribosomal RNA", at positions 29 to 506 of the family's 1533-position model. The record is from RNAcentral.
GUGAACGCUGGCGGCGUGCUUAACACAUGCAAGUCGAACGGUAACAGGAAGUAGCUUGCUACUUUGCUGACGAGUGGCGCACGGGUGAGUAAACUAUAGUUAAUGUGCCUCGAAGACUGGGAUAGCCACUGGAAACGGUGAUUAAUACUAGAUACACCUCUUUAGCUCAAGCUGGGGAGGGAAACGUUUUUUCGCUUCGAGAUCAGACUAUAUCCUAUCAGUUAGUUGGUGGGGUAAAGGCCUACCAAGGCGACGAUCCGUAGCUGGUCUGAGAGGAUGAUCAGCCACACUGGGACUGAGACACGGCCCAGACUCCUACGGGAGGCAGCAGUGGGGAAUAUUGCACAAUGGAGGAAACUCUGAUGCAGCAACGCCGCGUGGAGGAUGACGCAUUUCGGUGUGUAAACUCCUUUUAAGAGGGAAGAUAAUGACGGUACCUCUUGAAUAAGCACCGGCUAACUCCGU